This 263-nucleotide ribosomal RNA is filed under the name uncultured bacterium. RNAcentral describes it as "partial 16S ribosomal RNA". It matches the Rfam family "Bacterial small subunit ribosomal RNA", at positions 793 to 1055 of the family's 1533-position model. The record is from RNAcentral.
GUCCACGCUGUAAACGUUGGGUGCUAGGUGUCGCGGGUAUUGACCCCUGCGGUGCCGACGCUAACGCAUUUAGCACCCCGCCUGGGGAGUACGGUCGCAAGGCUAAAACUCAAAGGAAUUGACGGGGCCCGCACAAGCGGUGGAGCAUGUGGUUUAAUUCGAAGCAACGCGCAGAACCUUACCUGGACUUGACAUCUGGGGAACCCCCUGGAAACAGGGGGGUGCCUUCGGGAGCCCCAAGACAGGUGCUGCAUGGCUGUCGU